CUUUACUACUGCUGCGGAAAAGAGGACAACACUCCACAUUUCUGGCAUUGUAAAUGACAACACCGCAACUGAAAGCAAGCUUGAAUUUCUGGGAGUAGCAUUAGGAUACAGGACCCCUGCUGAGCUCACCAGUUCCUUGCUCUACACAGCUGCUUUCUCAGCUGGGGUUUUGAAAUAAGCACUGUGAGAAAAGACAGAAAUGACCAUGAUGCAUCUUUCUCACUAUGAGAAAAAGGUACCAUGUGAAGGCCUGGGCAUAUAACAUGAAACAAGAAAGAUAAGGCCCGUGCUUACAUAGAACUUGGUGAAGAAUCUAGACCAUAACAAGCACACAGAGAAAACGUAUCACAAAUUGUGCUAAAGUUCUGUAAAGGGAUUAAGAUGAAGUGUCACAAGACUGAAUUAGACAGAGUGCCCUUGAAAGAGUGCCAAUUUUUAGAAUGGAGGGUGUAGAUCCAUCCUUUGCAACUGGUGAGGACCUCCUCAGUAAGGCACUGAGCCAGGAGUCUAUACAGCCAUGCCAGCAGCCUAGUCCAAAGACGUUUACAUCCUGGAAGAGAACUUGCUGGCUUUUCACCUCAGCAUGUAUGGGCCAAACUAAUAUAACAAGAAGUCUUGAGAGGAGUCAGCGGCCAAGCUCCAUGUCUUGCAGCCAAACAAUGCUGUGGGAUGGAAGGUGGGAUGUCAUGUGUCUGGUUUACAGCACUCACGUAUCAGUUGGCAGUUAACGGAAGUGCUACUGAUUGGUGAUAUGCCUACUCCCCCUUCACCUUCGAUCAUGAUUGUAAACUUCGUGAGGACAUCACCAAAGGCUGACAUUGGCAACAUGCUUCCUGUACAAUCUGCAGAACAACGAUGGAACAAAAUAAACACCUUUUCUUUAUAAAUUACCCGGCUUCAUGUAUUCCUUCAUAACAAUGCAAAGCAGCCUAAUACAAAUUGUCAGUGAGUAGGCAGAUUUUCAGAAUGUAUGGCUAAUUGGAAUUUCCAUGGUCCUAUAUGAGAAGAGAUUUGAAGUAAUUCCAUAGAAUGUUAUGAGCGCCCUGGGAGAAGAAAAAGGGUGAUUUUUCAGAAGGAAAAGAGUGUAAGAAAAACAUGAAAUUCAAUUUUCCAAUGACAGUUCUG
This 1125-nucleotide long non-coding RNA is filed under the name Homo sapiens (human). RNAcentral's name for it is "HSALNT0085053". Lineage: Eukaryota; Metazoa; Chordata; Mammalia; Primates; Hominidae. The record is from RNAcentral.